CGAAGCCUACGGGGGGCAGCAGUAGGGAAUCUUCCACAAUGGACGAAAGUCUGAUGGAGCAACGCCGCGUGAGUGAAGAAGGGUUUCGGCUCGUAAAGCUCUGUUGGGAGUGAAGAAAGAUAGAGGUAGUAACUUGCCUUUAUUUGACGGUAAUUACUUAGAAAGUCACGGCUAACUACGUGCCAGCAGCCGCGGGAAUACGGAGGUGGCAAGCGUUGUCCGGAUUUAUUGGG
Molecule: ribosomal RNA, 233 nt
Filed under: uncultured bacterium
Lineage: Bacteria
Description: partial 16S ribosomal RNA
Rfam family: Bacterial small subunit ribosomal RNA
Source: RNAcentral